AGGUUUCAUAUUUUGAAAACGUAGCAGCAAUGGAGGAGUCGGGGCUUAAAGGCUUGGUGGGGGAGAGGGUUAAAGGUUUGUGAGGGGUGGAGAUUGGGGAUUUAGGUUUGAGGGUUGAGGAAAUGGGGGUUUUGGAGUUCUCAACUCGGGAGGAAGGGUUUGAAUAGAUUAUACAAUCUGUUCUUUUUUUUAAUUUUUUUUUAAAGACCUAGACCAAAACGACGUCGUUUUGGCCAGGUCUUUAAAAAAAAAAAUUCGCUGAGCUGGUCCAAAACAACGCCGUUUUGUCCAACUUCCUUUUAAAAAAAAAAAAAACAGAACCCCUCUUUAGCUUCUUCUUCCUCAUAUCUGCAACAUCCACCUUCAACCAUUCAUGGGGUCCCAUUCAUGGGGUCACACCCAUUCAAAGGGACCUUUUACCUUGCUUUCAUGGAGUCCAUAGAGUCGUUUGACCCAAUUGAUCCUACUGUGAGUCCUUCCCUGCACACACACAUAUAUGUGUUGAGGAGGACAGCAAUACUACAAACAUGUACGUUCUAGAGAGUGAUUUGGUGAUGAAUAUUCUUUAGGCUAAACUGUUAGUCAAAUAAAGAUAAUUAAUUACUAUAUUUACAGAAUUUCGAAAAUAAAACUUCACUAUAAAUUCGAAAUAAAUACAAGAAAAUAACGACAAGGAAAAUUAAGAAUGCUUUACAGAUGAUCUCGACAACUUGGUUCUAUCUCCUUAAGACGAAAUUGCCUCCUCACAAGUGUUUUUAGGAUUUGCUUAGUAAACAUCUCCCAAGAUACAACGAUCGACUUCUUGUUGAAGUAACAUUCCAAUCCCCAAGAAAAGCUAAGUCAAACUUGUGUAUGAACUCUUUCUUACUAACUCACUAUAUUUCUAAAAAUAUAAUGCUAUGAAUGCUCCAAAAACUACUAUUGUAG
Molecule: long non-coding RNA, 927 nt
Filed under: Prunus persica (peach)
Lineage: Eukaryota; Viridiplantae; Streptophyta; Magnoliopsida; Rosales; Rosaceae
Description: long non-coding RNA (PPER_LNC000110)
Source: RNAcentral